This 205-nucleotide long non-coding RNA is filed under the name Mytilus galloprovincialis (Mediterranean mussel). Lineage: Eukaryota; Metazoa; Mollusca; Bivalvia; Mytilida; Mytilidae. The record is from RNAcentral.
GACUAUCAACAUAAAAUCAAUGAUUAGUAAAGAAGGCGAGAUAUCUCAGUGUGUGCACUCUUGUAAUAUAAUCUAUAUACAAUGUUUUGGCUUAAACAGUAUCGUUUUUAUUCAAAUAAAUUGAAAUGAAUUGGACAACAGGCCCUCUCUAUAAAUAUGUAUAUCUUUAUGUGAUUUGUUUUUUUAAAGAUGAUUUCAUUCCAAC